GGAUGUGAGGGUGAUCUCGCUGCAACAUCUGUCACCCCACUGAUCACUGAGGUUGAUUUGGCUGAUCUGGCUGGCUAGGCAGGUGUCCCCUUCCUCCCUCAAUUCUCCACAUGCAUCCCUCCCAAAGCUGUGAGCUCCAUCGAAGACGACGACCUUCCCUGAUAGAUGGAGGCUGUCUUCAGUCAAGGGUAUAGGAGUAGCUGCAUGCCCCUGCUAGAACCUCCAAACAAUCUCUCAAGAGUUAUGCAAUUUGGGAGUCUUUUAGAUAGACCCACUGAAUGGGGUACCCCAAUU
This 294-nucleotide small nuclear RNA is filed under the name Nannospalax galili (Upper Galilee mountains blind mole rat). Its description in RNAcentral is "7SK RNA (ENSNGAG00000005153.1)". It matches the Rfam family "7SK RNA". Rfam says of the family: 7SK was discovered as an abundant small nuclear RNA in the mid-70s but a possible function has only recently been suggested. Two independent studies have found that 7SK RNA binds the CDK9/cyclin T complex (known as elongation factor P-TEFb). P-TEFb activates transcription by phosphorylating the C-terminal domain of RNA polymerase II. Lineage: Eukaryota; Metazoa; Chordata; Mammalia; Rodentia; Spalacidae. The record is from Rfam by way of RNAcentral.